Molecule: small RNA, 580 nt
Filed under: Pan troglodytes (chimpanzee)
Lineage: Eukaryota; Metazoa; Chordata; Mammalia; Primates; Hominidae
Description: retained intron
Source: RNAcentral
UUGUAGGAUAUUUGGCACUUCCUCAGCCGGAUAAAAAGGGCCUCUCCACGUCGCUAGGUAUACUGGCAGACAUCUUUGUUUCCAUGAGCAAGAACGAUUAUGAAAAGUUUAAAAACAAUCCACAAAUUAAUUUGGUAAUUAUCAUAACACUGAGUGGCAUCACCUGUAAAAUUGUCAAUCGUGUCCUUGGUGGUUGGUUAGUGGCUGUCUUUCUCAGGAGAUUGGGAGGCAGGGAGCUCAGUGCUGCGCCUCCUAGACAAAUGGGAAGAAUCCUGGGGAGGAGUCUUGUGGGGUCCUAUUUGGCUUUAUUAUCCCAGCGCCUAGCACUGUAACAGACACUCAGAGAGUGCUCAGAAAGUUACUGGUGAAUGAAUGAAUGAAUAUCAACAAAAUGAUUUUGAGCCUCACUUCUUUCCUUUCAAAGUAUAACAAAAUGCAGUUUCCAAACUUGGGCCAUCUUGAUGAUAAAGGGGUAAUAAUUUUAAAACUUUGUAAUCACCAUCUGUUCAAAUCAGAGCAUCAGUCCCUUGUUCCAGGCUCUCGUCCGUGAUAAUAAUGACUGCUAAUUUUUAUAUAUCAC